CCCUUAGAUGUUCUGGGCCGCACACGCGCUACACUGAAGGAGGCAGCGUGUACUCCUGGAUCGAAAGAUUUGGGUAACCCGCGAAUCUCCUUCGUGCUAGGGAUUGAGGUUUGCAAUUAUCCUUCAUGAACGAGGAAUUCCCAGUAAGUGCAAGUCAUAAGCUUGCGCUGACUACGUCCCUGCCCUUUGUACACACCGCCCGUCGCUACUACCGAUUGAAUGAUUUAGUGAGGACUUCGGACUGGGACCGAUGCGGCUUUCGGGCUGCGUCGGUAUUCUGGAAAGAUGUCCAAACUGUAUCAUUUAGAGGAAGUAAAAGUCGUGACA
Molecule: ribosomal RNA, 327 nt
Filed under: uncultured eukaryote
Lineage: Eukaryota
Description: partial 18S ribosomal RNA
Rfam family: Eukaryotic small subunit ribosomal RNA
Source: RNAcentral